UGGGGAAUAUUGCACAAUGGGGGAAACCCUGAUGCAGCAACGCCGCGUGAGCGAUGAAGGCCUUCGGGUUGUAAAGCUCUGUCUUCGCUGACGAUAAUGACGGUAAGCGAGGAGGAAGCCACGGCUAACUACGUGCCAGCAGCCGCGGUAAUACGUAGGUGGCAAGCGUUGUCCGGAAUUACUGGGCGUAAAGGAUGCGUAGGCGGCCUCUUAAGUGGGAUGUGAAAUCCCGGGGCUUAACCCCGGAGCUGCAUUCCAUACUGGGAGGCUAGAGUGCAGGAGAGGAAAGCGGAAUUCCCAGUGUAGCGGUGAAAUGCGUAGAGAUUGGGAGGAACACCAGUGGCGAAGGCGGCUUUCUGGACUGUAACUGACGCUGAGGCAUGAAAGUGUGGGGAGCAAACAGG
Molecule: ribosomal RNA, 404 nt
Filed under: uncultured bacterium
Lineage: Bacteria
Description: bacterial SSU rRNA
Rfam family: Bacterial small subunit ribosomal RNA
Source: RNAcentral